GGACGAACGCUGGCGGCGCGCCUAACACAUGCAAGUCGAACGGGCUUAAAGAAGCUUGCUUUUUAAAGCUAGUGGCGGACGGGUGAGUAACGCGUGAGCAACCUGCCUUCAGAGGGGAAUAACGAUUGGAAACGAUCGCUAAUACCGCAUAAUGCUGCGAGAGGACAUCCUCAUGCAGCCAAAAGGAGUAAUCCGCUGAAAAGAUGGGCUCGCGGCCGAUUAGAUAGUUGGUGAGGUAAUGGCUCACCCAAGUCGACGAUCGGUAGCCGGACUGAGAGGUUGAUCGGCCACAUUGGGACUGAGACACGGCCCAGACUCCUACGGGAGGCAGCAGUGGGGGAUAUUGCACAAUGGAGGGAAAAAACCUCUGAUGCAGCGACGCCGCGUGAGGGAAGACGGUCUUCGGAUUGUAAACCUCUGUCUUAGGGGAAGAAAAAUGACGGUACCCUAAGAGGAAGCUCCGGCUAACUACGUGCCAGCAGCCGC
RNAcentral lists this ribosomal RNA (486 nucleotides) under uncultured bacterium. Its description in RNAcentral is "bacterial SSU rRNA". It matches the Rfam family "Bacterial small subunit ribosomal RNA", at positions 27 to 518 of the family's 1533-position model. The record is from RNAcentral.